Molecule: ribosomal RNA, 279 nt
Filed under: uncultured methanogenic archaeon
Lineage: Archaea; Methanobacteriati; Methanobacteriota
Description: partial 16S ribosomal RNA
Rfam family: Archaeal small subunit ribosomal RNA
Source: RNAcentral
GAGACCCGUGCCCACUGUUACCAGCAUGUCCUCCGGGACGAUGGGUACUCUGUGGGGACCGCCGGUGUCAAAUCGGAGGAAGGUGCGGGCCACGGUAGGUCAGUAUGCCCCGAAUCUCCCGGGCUACACGCGGGCUACAAUGGAUGGGACAAUGGGUCCCUACCCCGAAAGGGGAUGGUAAUCUCAUAAACCCAUUCGUAGUUCGGAUCGAGGGCUGUAACUCGCCCUCGUGAAGCUGGAAUCCGUAGUAAUCGCGUUUCAAUAUAGCGCGGUGAAUAC